UACAGAGGGGGCAAGCGUUAUUCGGAAUUAUUGGGCGUAAAGGGCGCGUAGGCGGCGAUUCAAGUGACGGGUGAAAUCCCUCGGCUUAACCGAGGAACUGCCUGUCAGACUGGGUUGCUUGAGACAGGGAGAGGCGAGUGGAAUUCCCAGUGUAGCGGUGAAAUGCGUAGAUAUUGGGAGGAACACCAGUGGCGAAGGCGGCUCGCUGGACCGGAACUGACGUUGAGGCACGAAAGCGUGGGGAGCAAACAGG
RNAcentral lists this ribosomal RNA (253 nucleotides) under uncultured bacterium. RNAcentral describes it as "partial 16S ribosomal RNA". It matches the Rfam family "Bacterial small subunit ribosomal RNA", at positions 524 to 776 of the family's 1533-position model. The record is from RNAcentral.